UACGAAGGGGGCUAGCGUUGCUCGGAAUCACUGGGCGUAAAGGGUGCGUAGGCGGGUCUUUAAGUCAGGGGUGAAAUCCUGGAGCUCAACUCCAGAACUGCCUUUGAUACUGAAGGUCUUGAGUAUGGGAGAGGUGAGUGGAACUGCGAGUGUAGAGGUGAAAUUCGUAGAUAUUCGCAAGAACGCCAGUGGCGAAGGCGGCUCACUGGCCCAUUACUGACGCUGAGGCACGAAAGCGUGGGGAGCAAACAGG
This 253-nucleotide ribosomal RNA is filed under the name uncultured bacterium. Its description in RNAcentral is "partial 16S ribosomal RNA". It matches the Rfam family "Bacterial small subunit ribosomal RNA", at positions 524 to 776 of the family's 1533-position model. The record is from RNAcentral.